Molecule: ribosomal RNA, 636 nt
Filed under: uncultured Hyphomicrobiales bacterium
Lineage: Bacteria; Pseudomonadati; Pseudomonadota; Alphaproteobacteria; Hyphomicrobiales
Description: bacterial SSU rRNA
Rfam family: Bacterial small subunit ribosomal RNA
Source: RNAcentral
GGUGAGUAACGCGUGGGAAUCUACCUUAAGCUGCGGGAUAACAGAGAGAAAUUUCUGCUAAUACCGCAUGUGCCCGAAAGGGGAAAGAUUUAUCGGCUUAAGAUGAGCCCGCGUUGGAUUAGCUGGUUGGUGGGGUAAAGGCCUACCAAGGCGACGAUCCAUAGCUGGUCUGAGAGGAUGAUCAGCCACACUGGGACUGAGACACGGCCCAGACUCCUACGGGAGGCAGCAGUGGGGAAUAUUGGACAAUGGGCGCAAGCCUGAUCCAGCCAUGCCGCGUGAGUGAUGAAGGCCUUAGGGUUGUAAAGCUCUUUCACCGGAGAAGAUAAUGACGGUAUCCGGGGAAGAAGCCCCGGCUAACUUCGUGCCAGCAGCCGCGGUAAUACGAAGGGGGCUAGCGUUGUUCGGAAUUACUGGGCGUAAAGAGCGCGUAGGCGGAGAGAUAAGUCAGGGGUGAAAUCCCGGGGCUCAACCCCGGAAUUGCCUUUGAUACUGUUUUUCUUGAGUGCAGAAGAGGUAAGUGGAAUUCCGAGUGUAGAGGUGAAAUUCGUAGAUAUUCGGAGGAACACCAGUGGCAAAGGCGGCUUACUGGUCUGCAACUGACGCUGAGGCGCGAAAGCGUGGGGAGCAAACAGG